AAUGAUAAAUAAUAGUUUAUUAGAGCCAUCUUAGUUAUUAAAAGACAUAUAUUUGUACCCCUUUGAGUAUUUCAUAAGGAGAUUUUUAAAGGUCACUCCUUUUAACGGCCCUUUCUUUUGUAAUUUCCUUUUAAAUGUCAUUGAUCAUAGUCCAUUUAAAAUCGAAAACUAUAUAUUACUGAGUGACAUUUUUUAUUUAUUAAGAGUGUCAUAACACUUAAUAGGAGCAAAACUAAAUUAAUAAAAAGUACUCAAUAUCUAAUUACUUGUCAUCUAUGAUCAAAUCUUUUAAAUAUUAUCAUCUUCCAACAAAAAUAAUGCGUGUUCUUCCUAAAUUUCUCCAAG
This 345-nucleotide long non-coding RNA is filed under the name Carica papaya (papaya). RNAcentral's name for it is "long non-coding RNA (CPAP_LNC012348)". Lineage: Eukaryota; Viridiplantae; Streptophyta; Magnoliopsida; Brassicales; Caricaceae. The record is from RNAcentral.